This 274-nucleotide ribosomal RNA is filed under the name uncultured bacterium. RNAcentral describes it as "partial 16S ribosomal RNA". It matches the Rfam family "Bacterial small subunit ribosomal RNA", at positions 523 to 796 of the family's 1533-position model. The record is from RNAcentral.
AUACGGAGGGUCCAAGCGUUAUCCGGAAUCAUUGGGUUUAAAGGGUGCGCAGGCGGUUUAUUAAGUCAGUGGCGAAAUCUCGGGGCUCAACCUCGAAACUGCCAUUGAUACUGAUAAACUUGAGUUCAGUUGGAGUAGGCGGAAUGUGUAGUGUAGCGGUGAAAUGCUUAGAUAUUACACAGAACACCGAUAGCGAAGGCAGCUUACUAAACUGAUACUGACGCUGAGGCACGAAAGCGUGGGGAGCGAACAGGAUUAGAAACCCCAGUAGUCC